Molecule: ribosomal RNA, 567 nt
Filed under: uncultured bacterium
Lineage: Bacteria
Description: partial 16S ribosomal RNA
Rfam family: Bacterial small subunit ribosomal RNA
Source: RNAcentral
UGGGGAAUUUUGGACAAUGGGGGAAACCCUGAUCCAGCCAUCCCGCGUGUGCGAUGAAGGCCUUCGGGUUGUAAAGCACUUUUGGCAGGAAAGAAACGUCGCGGGUUAAUACCCCGCGAAACUGACGGUACCUGCAGAAUAAGCACCGGCUAACUACGUGCCAGCAGCCGCGGUAAUACGUAGGGUGCAAGCGUUAAUCGGAAUUACUGGGCGUAAAGCGUGCGCAGGCGGUUCGGAAAGAAAGAUGUGAAAUCCCAGAGCUUAACUUUGGAACUGCAUUUUUAACUACCGGGCUAGAGUGUGUCAGAGGGAGGUGGAAUUCCGCGUGUAGCAGUGAAAUGCGUAGAUAUGCGGAGGAACACCGAUGGCGAAGGCAGCCUCCUGGGAUAACACUGACGCUCAUGCACGAAAGCGUGGGGAGCAAACAGGAUUAGAUACCCUGGUAGUCCACGCCCUAAACGAUGUCAACUAGCUGUUGGGGGCCUUCGGGCCUUGGUAGCGCAGCUAACGCGUGAAGUUGACCGCCUGGGGAGUACGGUCGCAAGAUUAAAACUCAAAUGAAUUGAC